This is a non-coding RNA of Vicia faba (fava bean), 330 nucleotides long. The record is from the annotation of a GenBank genome assembly. NCBI's taxonomy places the organism in Eukaryota, Viridiplantae, Streptophyta, Magnoliopsida, Fabales, Fabaceae.
AUGAUGAUCGCCACUGUUUCUGCGCAUGAUUCGGAUGUGGUCAAAAGCGUGAAGAAGAAUUGGAUUCUGAAGCUAUUUACAAGAGUUUUGUUCUUAGGGUUAUGGCAGCUAGAAGUCCUAAUGUUCAACUCAGAAGCUUUCCUGUUUUUUUUUUGUUUUAUUCAACUUAGAGAGAGAGAGAGGAUUGUGUUCUUAUUCGAAUUUCUUGUUUAUUGUCUUAUUGGAAACAAUAAUAUUAUUCUGAUUGUCCCUUCCCAAGACACAACUAAAUGGCGCCUUUUUCUAUGUAUUAGGGUUACAAAACUUUUCCUUGUUUCUUCCCCAAAACCG